This 235-nucleotide ribosomal RNA is filed under the name uncultured bacterium. RNAcentral's name for it is "partial 16S ribosomal RNA". It matches the Rfam family "Bacterial small subunit ribosomal RNA", at positions 118 to 347 of the family's 1533-position model. The record is from RNAcentral.
UGAGCAAUCUGCCCUUCUCAUCGGAAUAAGCGUUGGAAACGACGUCUAAUGCCGAAUACGACCUCCUUUCGCAUGAUCGGAGGUGGAAAGCUCCGGCGGAGAAGGAUGAGCUCGCGGCCUAUCAGCUAGUUGGUGUGGUAAUGGCCCACCAAGGCGACGACGGGUAGCCGGUCUGAGAGGGCGACCGGCCACACGUGGGACUGAGACACCGGCCCAGACCUCCGUACGGGAGCAG